GACGAACGCUGGCGGCGUGCUUAACACAUGCAAGUCGAACGGAAAGGCCCUGCUUUUGUGGGGUGCUCGAGUGGCGAACGGGUGAGUAACACGUGAGUCACCUGCCCUUGACUUUGGGAUAACUUCAGGAAACUGGGGCUAAUACCGGAUAGGAGCUCCUGCUGCAUGGUGGGGGUUGGAAAGUUUCGGCGGUGUGGGAUGGACUCGCGGCUUAUCAGCUUGUUGGUGGGGUAGUGGCUUACCAAGGCUUUGACGGGUAGCCGGCCUGAGAGGGUGACCGGCCACAUUGGGACUGAGAGACGGCCCAGACUCCUACGGGAGGCAGCAGUGGGGAAUAUUGCACAAUGGGCGGAAGCCUGAUGCAGCAACGCCGCGUGCGGGAUGACGGCCUUCGGGUUGUAAACCGCUUUCGCCUGUGACGAAGCGUGAGUGACGGUAAUGGGUAAAGAAGCACCGGCUAACUACGUG
Molecule: ribosomal RNA, 468 nt
Filed under: uncultured bacterium
Lineage: Bacteria
Description: partial 16S ribosomal RNA
Rfam family: Bacterial small subunit ribosomal RNA
Source: RNAcentral